This 497-nucleotide ribosomal RNA is filed under the name uncultured bacterium. Its description in RNAcentral is "partial 16S ribosomal RNA". It matches the Rfam family "Bacterial small subunit ribosomal RNA", at positions 28 to 507 of the family's 1533-position model. The record is from RNAcentral.
GACGAACGCUGGCGGCGUGCCUAAUACAUGCAAGUUGAGCGCUGAAGGUUGGUACUUGUACCAACUGGAUGAGCAGCGAACGGGUGAGUAACGCGUGGGGAAUCUGCCUUUGAGCGGGGGACAACAUUUGGAAACGAAUGCUAAUACCGCAUAAAAACUUUAAACACAAGUUUUAAGUUUGAAAGAUGCAAUUGCAUCACUCAAAGAUGAUCCCGCGUUGUAUUAGCUAGUUGGUGAGGUAAAGGCUCACCAAGGCGAUGAUACAUAGCCGACCUGAGAGGGUGAUCGGCCACAGUGGGACUGAGACACGGCCCAAACUCCUACGGGAGGCAGCAGUAGGGAAUCUUCGGCAAUGGACGAAAGUCUGACCGAGCAACGCCGCGUGAGUGAAGAAGGUUUUCGGAUCGUAAAACUCUGUUGGUAGAGAAGAACGUUGGUGAGAGUGGAAAGCUCAUCAAGUGACGGUAACUUCCCAGAAAGGGACGGCUAACUACGUG